GGCCGCGCCGCGAGAUCCCUCCCCGUGCACCCUUCGCGCUGCAGGGGCGGCACCUGCUCGCCCAGCUGCUGGGCGGCGCUGGGAGUGGUUCCGAGCUGCUAGGGGACCCUGGGCAGCGCAGACCCUCUGCCCCGCGUCCUCCGCAUCGUCCCUUACAGGCAAAGCCCCCCAAUAAAGUAUGUUCCGAGGGAGAAGAAAGGCCCCAUCUCUCUGCAUCCCAAAUGAAGUCUGACGACGUAGCAUCACCUGGAGGCCUCAUUCCUGCCUCCACUUUGAGAUGCACCUUUAUCAUGAAGUAGACUCAUACUCACGUGGCUCUAUGUCCAGACCUAUUUGCUCCAGGAAUCUACUUGUCUCUUCCCGUGAUGAUAUCACAUAGUGUGAUUGUUAUAGUUUUGGAAUAUAUUUUAAUGCCUAACCACACAAGCCCCUGAUACUGUUAUGUUUUUUUUAAAAUUUGCCAAUUCCCAAUCAUGUAGAUUUUGGGGGGUAAGUUACAGAAUGAUUUUUGUCAAACCUUCUCCCUCCCCCACCCAUGCCAAAAUCCCAUCAGAAUUUCAACUGGUGUU
Long non-coding RNA from Orcinus orca (killer whale), 569 nucleotides. RefSeq lists it as uncharacterized. The transcript has 2 exons. NCBI's taxonomy places the organism in Eukaryota, Metazoa, Chordata, Mammalia, Artiodactyla, Delphinidae. The record is from RefSeq and is a predicted model, not a curated record.